This 466-nucleotide ribosomal RNA is filed under the name uncultured bacterium. RNAcentral's name for it is "partial 16S ribosomal RNA". It matches the Rfam family "Bacterial small subunit ribosomal RNA", at positions 28 to 505 of the family's 1533-position model. The record is from RNAcentral.
GACGAACGCUGGCGGCGUGCUUAACACAUGCAAGUCGAACGGAAAGGCCCUGCUUUUGUGGGGUGCUCGAGUGGCGAACGGGUGAGUAACACGUGAGUAACCUGCCCUUGACUUUGGGAUAACUUCAGGAAACUGGGGCUAAUACCGGAUAGGAGCUCCUGCUGCAUGGUGGGGGUUGGAAAGUUUCGGCGGUUGGGGAUGGACUCGCGGCUUAUCAGCUUGUUGGUGGGGUAGUGGCUUACCAAGGCUUUGACGGGUAGCCGGCCUGAGAGGGUGACCGGCCACAUUGGGAGUGAGUACCGCCCCAGACUCCUCCGGGGGGCAGCGGGGGGAAAUAUUCCAAAAGGGGGGGAAGCCUGAUGCAGCAACGCCGCGUGGGGGAUGACGGCCUUGGGGUUGUAAACCGCUUUCGCCGGGGACGAAGCGUGGGUGACGGUAAGGGGUAAAGAAGCCCCGGCUAACUACG